UAGGGAAUCUUCGGCCAUGGACGAAAGUCUGACCGAGCAACGCCGCGGGAGUGAAGAAGGGUUUCGGAGCGUAAAACUCUGUUGUUCGAGAAGAACAAGGACGUUAGUAACUGAACGUCCCCUGACGGUAUCUAACCAGAAAGCCACGGCUAACUACGUGCCAGCAGCCGCGGUAAUACGUAGGUGGCAAGCGUUGUCCGGAUUUAUUGGGCGGAAAGCGAGCGCAGGCGGUUUCUUAAGUCUGAUGUGAAAGCCCCCGGCUCAACCGGGGAGGGUCAUUGGAAACUGGGAGACUUGAGUGCAGAAGAGGAGAGUGGAAUUCCAUGUGUAGCGGUGAAAUGCGUAGAUAUAUGGAGGAACACCAGUGGCGAAGGCGGCUCUCUGGUCUGUAACUGACGCUGAGGCUCGAAAGCGUGGGGAGCAAACAGG
This 429-nucleotide ribosomal RNA is filed under the name Gemmatimonadota bacterium. RNAcentral describes it as "Gemmatimonadetes bacterium partial 16S ribosomal RNA". It matches the Rfam family "Bacterial small subunit ribosomal RNA", at positions 355 to 776 of the family's 1533-position model. Lineage: Bacteria; Pseudomonadati; Gemmatimonadota. The record is from RNAcentral.